UACGUAGGCAGCAAGCGUUGUUCGGAGUUACUGGGCGUAAAGGGUGUGUAGGCGGUUGCUUAAGUUUGGUGUGAAAUCUCCCGGCUCAACUGGGAGGGUGCGCCGAAUACUGAGUGACUCGAGUGCGGGAGAGGAAAGUGGAAUUCCUGGUGUAGCGGUGAAAUGCGUAGAUAUCAGGAGGAACACCAGCGGCGAAGGCGGCAUCCUGGACUGGUCCUGACACUCAGGAGCGAAAGCGUGGGGAGCGAUCCGG
RNAcentral lists this ribosomal RNA (253 nucleotides) under uncultured bacterium. Its description in RNAcentral is "partial 16S ribosomal RNA". It matches the Rfam family "Bacterial small subunit ribosomal RNA", at positions 524 to 776 of the family's 1533-position model. The record is from RNAcentral.